RNAcentral lists this small nuclear RNA (23 nucleotides) under Arabidopsis thaliana (thale cress). RNAcentral's name for it is "snRNA_11170". Lineage: Eukaryota; Viridiplantae; Streptophyta; Magnoliopsida; Brassicales; Brassicaceae. The record is from RNAcentral.
GAAAAAUCCACAAUUAUAACAAG